GGGGGCGACCUGGUUUCGACGUGGGCAACGAAGCAGCGCAGGGCAUGCCGAGGACCAGAUCACCUCGUAAAUCCAGUCUGGAAACACUACAAACGCCAACGACGAGCGUUUCGCUCUCGCGGCCUAAUACCCGCGAGACGCUGC
This 144-nucleotide transfer-messenger RNA is filed under the name Betaproteobacteria bacterium. RNAcentral's name for it is "partial transfer-messenger RNA". It matches the Rfam family "transfer-messenger RNA", at positions 1 to 148 of the family's 374-position model. Rfam says of the family: Bacterial tmRNA, also known as 10Sa RNA or SsrA, is named for its dual tRNA and mRNA-like properties. Its role is to liberate the mRNA from a stalled ribosome. The record is from RNAcentral. Lineage: Bacteria; Pseudomonadati; Pseudomonadota; Betaproteobacteria.